CCUACGGGAGGCAGCAGUGAGGAAUAUUGGUCAAUGGGCGGAAGCCUGAACCAGCCAAGUCGCGUGAGGGAAUAAGGCCCUACGGGUCGUAAACCUCUUUUGCCGGGGAGCAAGGGCGGGGACGUGUCCCGGCCCGGAGAGUACCCGGAGAAAAAGCAUCGGCUAACUCCGUGCCAGCAGCCGCGGUAAUACGGCGGAUGCGAGCGUUAUCCGGAUUUAUUGGGUUUAAAGGGUGCGUAGGCGGGCUGUUAAGUCAGCGGUAAAAUGUCGGGGCUCAACCCCGGCCUGCCGUUGAAACUGGCGGCCUCGAGUGGGCGAGAAGUAUGCGGAAUGCGUGGUGUAGCGGUGAAAUGCAUAGAUAGCACGCAGAACUCCGAUUGCGAAGGCAGCAUACCGGCGCCCUACUGACGCUGAGGCACGAAAGCGUGGGUAUCGAACGGGAUUAGAUACCCUUGUAGUC
Molecule: ribosomal RNA, 460 nt
Filed under: uncultured bacterium
Lineage: Bacteria
Description: partial 16S ribosomal RNA
Rfam family: Bacterial small subunit ribosomal RNA
Source: RNAcentral